Molecule: ribosomal RNA, 256 nt
Filed under: uncultured archaeon
Lineage: Archaea
Description: partial 16S ribosomal RNA
Rfam family: Bacterial small subunit ribosomal RNA
Source: RNAcentral
UAAUACGAAGGGUGCAAGCGUUAAUCGGAAUUACUGGGCGUAAAGGGUGCGUAGGCGGUUCGUUAAGUCUGUCGUGAAAUCCCCGGGCUCAACCUGGGAAUGGCGAUGGAUACUGGCGAGCUAGAGUGUGUCAGAGGAUGGUGGAAUUCCCGGUGUAGCGGUGAAAUGCGUAGAGAUCGGGAGGAACAUCAGUGGCGAAGGCGGCCAUCUGGGACAACACUGACGCUGAAGCACGAAAGCGUGGGGAGCAAACAGG